Serinus canaria (Common canary) is the source of this 962-nucleotide long non-coding RNA. RefSeq lists it as uncharacterized. The record is from RefSeq and is a predicted model, not a curated record. Lineage: Eukaryota; Metazoa; Chordata; Aves; Passeriformes; Fringillidae. The transcript is spliced from 5 exons.
CGGGGCCACAGCGGUGCGGGCACGGCGGCAGCUCUGCUGUGCUGCCCGUGGCGGCCCGAGAGCGGCCGUUCCGUUCGGGGCUAUCGCAGCGGGGCCUGGGCUGUGAGCCCAGCCUUUAGCAUGAACUGCACUAAGAGCUGCCACUACCGAAACCUGAAAUGAAAUUUAGACCGCGAGUUGGGUGUGAGGUCAAUAGUUUCGCCACUUAGCCGGAUCGCUGUUACGCAGCGAGGGCAAGCUGAAUUUAUUUAGCUGUCAGACCAGAGUUCUUCUGAGUUAACUGAUUCCAGAACUGUUACAAUAGCAGAAAUGUUCUUGUUUCAUUGAUGCAGGAGAGAAGGCUUUUGACUACAGUUUCUCUUGCUCUCCUGUCCUCCUUGGGAUGUUUUCAGCCCUGAAUGAGAACAGAAACUUCAGAUCACUGCUUUGCCUUCACUCAUAUCACUUCACAGGAGACCAGAUGUUCCUCAUUUCAAAGAGAGCAGUGACCAGGAGUGCUGCAGGCAGGAACCACAAACAGAAACCUGGCACUUAACUUCCUUGACAAAUGGCUUUUUUGCUUCACUUCUUAUUUGUUCUGAGAAGCUAUGAAUGUUGAAGCUAUGGAAGUUGAUAUUCUAUCAAGAAUCAAAAUUUAAAGUAAUGGAAUUAAAGUCAAAGUAAUAUACCAGUUUUCAUGGAAGUUCAUGAAGGAUUGUCUUCCAUGGGAUGGACCCCCACACUGGAGCAGGGAAGGAGUGUGAGGAAUUCCACACGGAGGAGGAAGGAGCAGCAGAGACAACCUGUGGUGAGCUGACCACAGCCCCAUCUCCUGUCCCACCUAACUGCUGGGGGAGAGGAGAAAGAGAAUUUGGGAUUAAAGUUAAACCCAGGACAUAGGUAGAAGGUGUUUCAAGAUUUGUCUUUAUUUCUAAUUAACCUACUUUGAUUUGUUUGGUAAUAAAUUAAACUAAUUUUCUCAA